This 1209-nucleotide long non-coding RNA is filed under the name Anas platyrhynchos platyrhynchos (common mallard). RNAcentral's name for it is "lncRNA (ENSAPLG00000030576.1)". The record is from RNAcentral. Lineage: Eukaryota; Metazoa; Chordata; Aves; Anseriformes; Anatidae.
AAAUUGGCAGUUUAUGAAAAUUUGCUUCAUUUUGUUUUCUAACCUGCUAUUCUUUUUGCAUUUGGCUCAGUACUGAAGGUAUACUAAGUCUUUAGAAAGUCUUUCAGAAGUUCUCCUUAAUUUGAGAAGCAUUUUCUUGAUCAAGCAAGCAGAAUCAAUAUAUUAGAUGCUUCUAAGAUCCUGGAAUGUAGCUUUAAGAAAUUACAACAGUUACAAAUUGUGAGCCAAAUCCCUGCCUUACACAAAGUGUACCAGUGAUAAAUGAAGGUCUUACUGACCUAAUAAAAUGCUACAGAUUGAUAUUCCUUUUGUUGAGCAGCCUGUAAUUUCAUUAAUUUUAUUGACAGUAAUUAUAACAAGUUAAAUUUAUGGUAGCCAUAAAGAAAAGUUAGUCAACCACAUGAAAAUGUCAGCAUGCUCACUUUGGUAUGAGCAGGCUGAAGGUUUUGGGGUGUGUGUGUGGUGGCUGCUGGUCUGUUGUCUUCUUCCUGCAUUCAGCUUUGAUGGCAAUUUUUAAGGGCUAGGAAAUUGUGCUUUUGGUGUGCCCAUUGCAGUUCUCUCUGUAAAACUGAAAGGAGGUUCUUGUAGCCUUGUGAUUUCAGGCCCAUGUUUUCAUUUUUUUCUUAAUAGUAUUAAGGGAUUAGCUGAUAGAAUUAUGUGAAACAUCAAGCUAUCUGUCCAGCUGGAUGUCGACGCUGAGAAUAUAAGAAAUGAGCAUUGAGGGAGGAUUUUCACUUCUUCUUUCUGCGUGUAUUAAAUCCUACCUUCCAGGCUGGUAGUGAUUGUGAAACCUUAGCUGAAAUUGCCAUUCCCUGUGUCCUUUUUCCAAAUGGAGACUGUGCCCAGAAAUCCCUGGCCAGCAGCACCAGAGCAGGUGCAGACUUCUUGGGAAACGUAGUCUCCCCACAAGCCCUUAUUCAGAAUUCACCUAUUCCCAGAGCAGCAGCAUGUUCUAUUGCUCUGUUCCAGGAACCUGUCACAAGAAGCCAAAAAUGACCAUGUGCUGUGCAGAACUAGCUUCUGUUGCACCUGCUUAAAGAGGUAGAACGUAUCAGGAAGAAAAAUGGAGAAGAGAACUGACAAGAUCAUGUUAGGACCAGAGAGCCUGCAUGGCUGCACUGCGGGCGGCCACCGAUCUAGUCUCUGCCUUCACAAUGCAGAUCGAAGUGUGAUAAAGUGUGUAGGUCACGGUCAUGAGUAGCUGAGUGC